Molecule: ribosomal RNA, 471 nt
Filed under: uncultured bacterium
Lineage: Bacteria
Description: bacterial SSU rRNA
Rfam family: Bacterial small subunit ribosomal RNA
Source: RNAcentral
CGGCAUGCCUUACACAUGCAAGUCGAACGGCAGCACGGACUUCGGUCGUGGUGGCGAGUGGCGAACGGGUGAGUAAUGCAUCGGAACGUGCCAUUGAGUGGGGAUAACGUAGCGAAAGUUGCGCUAAUACCGCAUAUUCUGUGAGCAGGAAAGCAGGGGACCGCAAGGCCUUGCGCUCUUGAGCGGCCGAUGUCAGAUUAGCUAGUUGGUGAGGUAAAGGCUUACCAAGGCGACGAUCUGUAGCGGGUCUGAGAGGAUGAUCCGCCACACUGGAACUGAGACACGGUCCAGACUCCUACGGGAGGCAGCGGUGGGGAAUUUUGGACAAUGGGGGCAACCCUGAUCCAGCCAUGCCGCGUGAGUGAAGAAGGCCUUCGGGUUGUAAAGCUCUUUCGGCCGGGAAGAAAUCGCAUGGGCCAAUACCCUGUGUGGAUGACGGUACCGGAAUAAGAAGCACCGGCUAACUACGUG